RNAcentral lists this ribosomal RNA (501 nucleotides) under uncultured bacterium. Its description in RNAcentral is "partial 16S ribosomal RNA". It matches the Rfam family "Bacterial small subunit ribosomal RNA", at positions 30 to 523 of the family's 1533-position model. The record is from RNAcentral.
AUUGAACGCUGGCGGCAUGCCUUACACAUGCAAGUCGAACGGCAGCACGGGUGCUUGCACCUGGUGGCGAGUGGCGAACGGGUGAGUAAUACAUCGGAACGUACCUUAUCGUGGGGGAUAACGCAGCGAAAGUUACGCUAAUACCGCAUACGAUCUAAGGAUGAAAGCGGGGGAUCGCAAGACCUCGCGCGAUUGGAGCGGCCGAUGGCAGAUUAGGUAGUUGGUGGGGUAAAGGCUCACCAAGCCGACGAUCUGUAGCUGGUCUGAGAGGACGACCAGCCACACUGGGACUGAGACACGGCCCAGACUCCUACGGGAGGCAGCAGUGGGGAAUUUUGGACAAUGGGCGCAAGCCUGAUCCAGCCAUUCCGCGUGCAGGAUGAAGGCCCUCGGGUUGUAAACUGCUUUUGUACGGAACGAAAAGGCUCUGGUUAAUACCUGGGCUCAUGACGGUACCGUAAGAAUAAGCACCGGCUAACUACGUGCCAGCCGCCGCGGUAA